AAUCCUGCUGGUCAAACAGAUGUGUGGCAACCUGAGUAAGCACAUAAAAAUGAUUUUGGGAACCCCACGCCUUAGAGAAGGUCAGUGACCUCUGCCUGCCCUCUGCGCUUUGCCCACCCCCACCCCCUGCCCACCAUGGUGUGUGACAUUGGUGCCAAGGGGCAAGUUCAGCCGGAGUGAUGUUCUUGGUAGAGCUGAAGUGGUCCACCACAGCUACAGCAGACAAAGCUCUUUGUUCUCAACUCACGCUGCUAAUCGUUCAAUUCCAAGGACAACCAGGAACAUCGCAUUUUGUUUCCAGAGCUGCAUGAUAUCUUGGAGGAAGCACGGGUGUCCCACUUGCAUAUCCUGACCCUCACCCCUUUGGUGCAGAGGGGCCAGGCCACCAGCUACCAGCACCUGCCCAGCAGGGGAGGCUGAAGUGAUGGGAAAUCAGUGCCCCCUGGAAAAAGCCCUCAACAAUAACUGCUAAGAAUUGAUACAUAAAUGCCUUAGCUCCGUCUCUCAGGGAUUCAAGUGCUUACAAAACCAGCCUGAGAUGCAGAGCUCACGAAAACCACUGCAAUUGCUGGAUGCUGGAAAAUUUAUGGAGCUGCAGAGCCAGCAGGAUGCAGAGUAAACAGCACUGAAGAGAGUAAGUCUAGCUGUGGCAUCCUGACCUUGCCUCUGGUCUCCAAAGUUAUUCUCAACCCUAAGAAGCCAGGAUUCAAGGACGAAGCAUGGCUUCACACAAAUGCAGAGCCAAAAAGCAUGAGGUUAAUUGUCUAACUGAAGGAAGUUCUUGUAGGCUAGGGCAGUGGUUCUCAAAGUAGGAUCCUUUUACCAGCGUCACCUGGGAACUUGUUAGAAAAUUCUUGGGCCCCAUUCCAGACCCUCUGAAUCAGAAUUUUGGGGGAUGGGGCACCAUCAGUCUGUUUUAUUAAGCCCUCCAGGUGAUUUGAAUGCAGUCUUAAGUUUGAGAAUUACUGAUUUAGGGGCAUGUUAUUACAAAGGUGGCUCACGGCAUUGGCAUCCGUUGGGAGCUGCUUAGAGAGGCAGAAACUGCACUUAACAAGAUCCCCAGAUGAUCUGAGUACACCUCAAAGUUGAGAAGCUCUGGGUAUACAUUUCUAGUCUCAAACCUUGAAGUUUGUGAUUCACUGGGUCUGGGGGGGGGCCUGCCAACUUAUAUUUCUAAAAAGCUCCCAAGUAUUGCUGAUGCUCGGAGAAGGCAAUGGCACCCCACUCCAGUACUCUUGCCUGGAAAAUCCCAUGGACGGACGGGCCUGGAGGGCUGCAGUCCAUGGGGUCGCUGGGAGUCGGACACGACUGAGCAACUUCACUUUAUUUUUUCACUUUCAUGCAUUGGAGAAGGAAAUGGCAACCCGCUCCAGUGUUCUUGCCUGGAGAGUCCCAGGGAUGGUGGAGCCUGGUGGGCUGCCGUCUAUGGGGUCGCACAGAGUCGGACACGACUGAAGCGACUUAGCAGCAGCAGCAGCAUUGCUGAUGCUGUGGUUUUGGGGGCCACACUUUGAGUAUCAAGAUUCUAGUCCUCAGGCCAGGCUUAGAAUCUGGGUCAUGGGAGGGUUUCAAGGCAAUCAAAGUUUGAGCCAUUCUGAACAGACAUUCAGGGUGCACAUCGCUCAACUCCAGAGACGCCAUUCACACAGACUGAGUCAAGGACCUGAAACCCUCAGCUAAGUAAGAUAAGAGGCAGGGUAGAAUAAAGAGUGGGAUUUACAGUUAGAAGUGGAUUUGAAUCGUAACCUUGCCUCUAACGUAGUAUGAUCUUGGGAAAAUUAUUUAAGUCUGUGUUUCAGUGUCCUUAUCUGUACAAUGGAGAUGGUCAUACCUGCCCCACUAGAUGAGAUAUUCAAUGGUCAGCACACAGAACAAGUGCAGCAAAUAUUCGUUUGCUCUCAGCCAAGGGAAUAGCAGUGUCAUCAGAUGCACUGUCUCCUUCUCCUCCUCCAGUCUCCUCCCAGGCAGGGGCCUAAUUGCCUGCUUCAGGCUGAAGGCCAGGUAAGCGUGAUGGGCUUUUCUUUAGCACUCCCAGGGGUCAGAUGAAGGUGAUACAAGAAUAAUGCAGGCUAUUUAUAUUAGGAACUCUUCUCAUGGGUUUGUAAAAAUCGAUUCAUAAAAAUGACCAAUGUAGCCAAUUUCAAACCACACCCAGGUUUCAUCUAUCUACCAAAGUCAAAAGAGACAGCAGCAUCUCUGGUCCUGACAAGGCUCUCUGUGUUGCCCCUGGUGCCUGGAGUCACACAGAGGCUUUGUGGGGGCACCUUGGCAGGGAAGUCUGCCCUCCUCCACUUAAAGCACACAGUUGGGCCCCUCCCAUGCGUUGCUGGUGUUGAUUUUGAGAAGAAGACACUCAGGGGUUCUCCAAAACAAAUUAAAGACCAAAUUAAAGUAUGUCUUUGGGGCAAAUGGAAAGUCAUUUGGGGUACAGAGCAGACUGCAAAAUGCCAUCAAAGCUUUAAAACCCAAACCGACCAGGGCUGGUAAGAGGCCAGAUGAACCUUCAUGGUUUCAGAAAAUAGACAUCCUUAAAUUUGCUUUUUUGCACUUUCAGAGAAUCAGAGGAAAAGGAUAAGUGCUUUUUCUUUUUUUGUUUUUAAUUUCAGGGCUUGUUUUAAUUUUAGUAGGGGAUGGAAGGACUGCUGAGUUUAGGCAAGAAUUCAGCCUGAGAUAGCCACUAGAGGGCGUCAAUGAUUCAGGAAAGCUCCUAUUUCCAAAAGAGGCCCCAGAAGCUGAAAAGGUCUGAUCUGAGUCGGGUGUCUGGGGGAAAGUGGGUUCCUUAAAACCUUUUAGGCAGGUGCUCACCGAAAGGAAGUAUCCAGGUCCGUAGGGACGCUAGAUAAUUAAACAAUGUAUUUACUGUAUUUUUUCUGAAUGCAAGCCACUUGUCCUUGGUGUGAAAGUACAGAUAAGGGUGUAGGACUUCUAAUGAGUCUGUAACUGAAAAGGGCUCAGGGGGUGGUAUCAAGGACAAGCUUGGAAGUUGUGGGCCGUCAUACCCCAUUAUUUCUAUGUGCUGCCCCAAUAAACUUAAAAUCAAAAUAAAAACAGCAUGUUUGCUAGGCAAAUACAGUAAGGUCUUCAAGUUUUGCAAACUUUCAAAGAUGUGAACAUGCAUGCCAACCUCUGUAUGCCAGCUGUUGUACUGUACUGCUGUACUUUUCAAGGUACUAUGAGAUUAAAAAUGUUUUCUUUA
Bos taurus (domestic cattle) is the source of this 3196-nucleotide long non-coding RNA. The record is from Ensembl. Lineage: Eukaryota; Metazoa; Chordata; Mammalia; Artiodactyla; Bovidae.